RNAcentral lists this ribosomal RNA (497 nucleotides) under uncultured bacterium. RNAcentral's name for it is "partial 16S ribosomal RNA". It matches the Rfam family "Bacterial small subunit ribosomal RNA", at positions 28 to 507 of the family's 1533-position model. The record is from RNAcentral.
GAUGAACGCUGGCGGCGUGCCUAAUACAUGCAAGUCGAGCGAACAGACGAGGAGCUUGCUCCUCUGACGUUAGCGGCGGACGGGUGAGUGACGAGUGGAACACGUACCUAUAGGCCUGGGAUAACUUCGGAAAACCGGAGCUAAUGCCGGAUAAUCUAUUGAACCGCAGGGUUCAAUAGUGAAAGGCGGUUUUGCUGUCACUUAUAGAUGAUUACGCGCCGCAGUAGCUAGUUGGUAAGGUAACGGCUUACCAAGGCGACGAUGCGUAGCCGACCUGAGAGGGUGAUCGGCCACACUGGAACUGAGACACGGUCCAGACCCCGACGGGAGGCAGCAGUAGGGAAUCUUCCGCAAUGGGCGAAAGCCUGACGGAGCAGCGCCGCGUGAGUGAUGAAGGUCUUCGGAUCGUAAAACUCUGUUACUAGGGAAGAACAAAUGUGUAAGUAACUAUGCACGUCUUGACGGUACCUAAUCAGAAAGCCACGGCUAACUACGUG